GACGAACGCUGGCGGCGUGCUUAACACAUGCAAGUCGAGCGGUAAGGCCCUUUCGGGGGUACACGAGCGGCGAACGGGUGAGUAACACGUGGGUGACCUGCCCUCAGCUCUGGGAUAAGCCCUGGGAAACCGGGUCUAAUACCGGAUAUGACUCCAUGACGCAUGUUGUGGGGUGGAAAGCCUUGUGCGGCUGAGGAUGGGCCCGCGGCCUAUCAGCUUGUUGGUGGGGUGAUGGCCUACCAAGGCGACGACGGGUAGCCGGCCUGAGAGGGCGACCGGCCACACU
Molecule: ribosomal RNA, 286 nt
Filed under: uncultured bacterium
Lineage: Bacteria
Description: partial 16S ribosomal RNA
Rfam family: Bacterial small subunit ribosomal RNA
Source: RNAcentral